ACGGGGUGCAGCAGGCGCGAAAACUUUGCAAUGCGGGAAACCGUGACAAGGGAACUCCGAGUGCCCGUAAAUUCGGGCUGUCCGCCAGUGUAAAAAACUGGUGAAGAAAGGGCCGGGCAAGACCGGUGCCAGCCGCCGCGGUAAUACCGGCGGCUCGAGUGGUGGCCACUAUUACUGGGCUUAAAGCGUUCGUAGCUGGUCUGUUAAGUCUCUGGGGAAAUCUUCCGGCUUAACCGGAAGGCGUCCCAGGGAUACUGGCAGACUAGGGACCGGAAGAGGUGAGGGGUACUCCAGGGGUAGGAGUGAAAUCCUGUAAUCCUUGGGGGACCACCUGUGGCGAAGGCGCCUCACCAGAACGGCUCCGACAGUGAGGAACGAAAGCUGGGGGAGCAAACCGGAUUAGAUACCCGGGUAGUCCCAGCUGUAAACGAUGCGCGUUAGGUGUAUCGGUGACCAUGAGUCACCGAGGUGCCGAAGAGAAAUCGUGAAACGUGCCGCCUGGGAAGUACGGUCGCAAGGCUGAAACUUAAAGGAAUUGGCGGGGGAGCAC
RNAcentral lists this ribosomal RNA (550 nucleotides) under uncultured archaeon. Its description in RNAcentral is "bacterial SSU rRNA". It matches the Rfam family "Archaeal small subunit ribosomal RNA", at positions 325 to 879 of the family's 1478-position model. The record is from RNAcentral.